RNAcentral lists this ribosomal RNA (437 nucleotides) under uncultured bacterium. RNAcentral's name for it is "partial 16S ribosomal RNA". It matches the Rfam family "Bacterial small subunit ribosomal RNA", at positions 29 to 507 of the family's 1533-position model. The record is from RNAcentral.
AGCGAACGCUGGCGGCAGGCUUAACACAUGCAAGUCGAGCGGGCAUCCUCGUGGUGUCAGCGACAGACGGGUGAGUAACGCGUGGGAACGUGCCCUUCGGUUCGGAAUAACUCAGGGAAACUUGAGCUAAUACCGGAUACGUGCGAGAGCAGAAAGGUUUAUCUGCCGAAGGAUCUGGCCGCGUUUGAUUAGCUAGUUGGUGAGGUUAUGGCUCACCAAGGCGACGAUCAGUAGCUGGUCGGAGAGGAUGAUCAGCUGCGCUGGGACUGAGACACGGCCCAAUCUCCUACGGGAGGCAGCAGAGGGGGAUAUUAGGCAAUGGGGGCAACUCUGAACCAGCCAUGCCGCGUGAGAGAUGACGGCCUUAGGGUUGUAAAGCUCUUUUCGUCGGGACGAGAAUGACGUUACCGGAGGAAUAAGCCCCGGCUAACUACGUG